GAAAAAGAAAGACGUAAUCCGCACAUCCUCCCGGUCCCAGCAGCCCGCGUCUCUCGGCGGCGCUUGCUCCCCGUCGGCGCACUCGCUUCUCCCCGGUUCCUCGCCGCCGCUCGCUCCACCCCCGUUGUCUCUCGCGCGCAGCCUCGCUUGCCUCCCCCUCGUCGCCCUAGCCGGCCGCGGGUGCGCCCGCGCGCCCCAACCGUUGCUGCGGCCUGCUGGCCGCACGCGCCCGCGUCCUGGUCCCCGCCUCGCCGUCACCGCAGUCGCGCUGCGCCGUUCGCCUCCUUGCCUGAGCCCUCGUGCCGCCCUCCUCUCUCCUGCCCUAAAUCGGUUCUGCGGGUCGCCGAAUACGCAUGUCGUCCACCUCCUGCCUAGCCCCUCUCGCUCCGCGGCUCCCCUGCGGUAGGGUUAGGCUCCCGCCUCCCUCCGCCGCCGCCGAGAGGCCAUCACUCAGAUUUAAGCCUCGCGGGGCUGCUCCCACCAAGGUAAGGUCGAAACGACUCCCUGCUCUCGGGUUCAACCGUUUGACUGCCGCAAUUUCAGCAGCCAAGCCUUGUAUGGGUAUCACAGUGCUCAGUUUUGUAGCUACAACAUUGCUAUCCACAUGGCCAAUCUGAAUGUCAUGCCCAUCAGUUUGCUCUGUUAGUGUCAAAAUGGCAUGCUGCCUGCGACAAUUUGAUUUUUUGUUUUGUUUUCUUUCUUGUGCUCGUGUGCAUUUAGGGAUGGAGCCUGGUUCACAUCUCGUGCUUCAGGCAGGAUCAGGACGUGUCAACAACAUCUGAUGAUGGCACCGGCUUCAAGUGCAAUGAGCAGGCAGAGAUCUCAGGGGAUCCUGAUCUGAAGGAGGAAGACGGUGGAAGCCCCAACACGGAUGCUCAGAGUUAUGUAAAUGGAGACUGGUCUGUUAGAGCGCAGAAGAUAAAGGAAAAUCUACAGGAAACAAUAUUCAGAUUUUGGAAUGGGCGCUGGGCGGUACCUUGGACUGGACAAACAAUUGCCCAGGUCAUGUUUUUGUGGAUUGCGACAUUUUGGCUUGUGGGCUCCUGGAUAGUGCCAUUCUUGGCUCACGCUGCUGGCUUUAGCAAGGAAACAUUGACGCACAGAGGACAAGCAUUAUACAGCCUCGUGACGGACAUAACUGAAGGCCUUGCUGGGAUCGCUAUCCUUCACCAGUGCCUUGGUAGAUUCCGUCCCCUUCCUCCAGGCUGGUUUGAGUUCAAAUUAAAGGGCAGAUGGCAUUGGGAUGUAGCGUUGGGGUGCCUGUUAUUCCCACUGGUGAAUUUGCUUUCUCACAUCAACAUCAGCCUAGUUCAUAUGUCAUCAGGGCCAGUCGCCGGGGUAUCCAGUGUAGAGCAAUCCAUUGUGGCCCGUGACCCGGUGGCAAUGGCCUUGUAUGCAGUGGUAGUCACUGUAUGUGCACCUAUAUGGGAAGAGAUUGUAUUCCGUGGUUUCCUUCUCCCAUCUCUAACACGAUACAUGCCCCUUCCGUGGUCGAUCCUGCUAAGUGCCGCGGCGUUUGCGCUGGCGCACUUCAACGUGCAAAGGGUGUUGCCGUUGAUAUUUCUCGGGGUUGUGAUGGGAGGCGUCUUUGCCAGAUCACGCAACCUAUUGGCAUCGAUGGUGCUUCAUAGCCUUUGGAACGGUUUUGUAUUCCUGGAUUUGAUGAAAUGAGCUAUGAAGCUAUUGUUGUCCAGCUUUCGAUGUCUCCUGUGGAGUUUCCUCCUUCCUUUGUGUUUUCAUUUUGCAUGGAGAGUAUAUAAAGAAACUAACGAAGGGUGGCGGUCAGGUUGUUUUAUGUGGAGAAUAGAUAAACAGAAGACGGCAUUUUGAAGAUUUUUGUGUAGGGGUCAGAUAGCCAUAGGAAUUGUGCCCAGAAGCAUGUUUCUUACUCGUGUAAAUUGUAUACGCGUGGGAAUAAUUGCCUCGUGUAUAUAAUUCCCCAUUCAUAUGUAAUUGUGCAUUUUAUUCUUGAUUAUGUGCCCAGAAAUACAAAUUCCCUGGUAUAUCUUGUCCAGUGACUUGCCU
This 2025-nucleotide ribosomal RNA is filed under the name Triticum aestivum (bread wheat). RNAcentral's name for it is "partial small subunit ribosomal RNA". The record is from RNAcentral. Lineage: Eukaryota; Viridiplantae; Streptophyta; Magnoliopsida; Poales; Poaceae.